GUGGUGGGCCGAGCCCGCGUAUCUGCUUUAUUUUUUUAAAUGACCUGUCCCCGUCGAUGGAGGAGCUGAAUUUUUGAUAUUAUCAACGUCGUUUUUUUCUUAAAACAUUUUCGUUUGUUGGCACAUCCAAUUCUUGCACAUUUUUUCUGUAGCUUAGUUCAAAGUUAGCAACUUUAUCAGGCAAUCGUCUCAACUACCUAACUCUCCAACCAACCAGAACUCGUGUAUCAUCUUGUUAGCUAAUCGAAUGGUUCGUAACAGGAUCAGCUGAUAGUAAAAACAACCUAAGUGACCAUGCGUCAAGUAGCUAGCCUAGUAAGCCUACAAGUCUCGGCACCACAAUGGUAGCUCGGUGAGCUUUAAUUAAAUACUUGCUUUCCGUGUCACUGUCUGUCUUUAAUUUACCUUAUUUUCUUCAUUUUUUAAAUCAGCGGCAGUAAUUAAAACUGUUGGGCACUCACUGGCCUGGAGAUUUAGCUGGCUGAGCUCAGGAUAGCCAAAAAACACAAAGAAAUAUGAGAACAUUAUUGAGACGUUUUUAUACAACGAAUACCAUAAUAUGUAGCAUGUUGAAAGUCUGGCUGGUGAAGGGACCCUGAGCUGACUGGAGAUGGUAGACUGAGCUGGCUGGUGAUGGGAGACUGAGCUGACUGGAGAUAGUAGACUGAGCUGGCUGGUGAAGGGACCCUGAGCUGACUUGAGAUGGUAGACUGAGCUGGCUGGUGAUGGGACCCUGAGCUGACUGGAGAUAGUAGACUGAGCUGGCUGGUGAAGGGACCCUGAGCUGACUUGAGAUGGUAGACUGAGCUGGCUGGUGAAGGGACCCUGAGCUGACUUGAGAUGGUAGACUGAGCUGGCUGGUGAUGGGAGACUGAGCUGUGUCAACAUAAUCAAACGAGCGAUAGGUCUCGGUCUGCUCUAAAAGUUAUUUCCCGACCUUUAACCUUCGUCAUUGUCUUUCUUGCUCUGUCCUUAAACAUCUAAAGAUUAUGUUUUUUAAUCUCUUCACUCUAUAG
Molecule: long non-coding RNA, 1016 nt
Organism: Osmerus eperlanus (European smelt)
Lineage: Eukaryota; Metazoa; Chordata; Actinopteri; Osmeriformes; Osmeridae
Exons: 2
Source: RefSeq, a predicted model, not a curated record